UGUAAAGUGACUUAAUAAUGGCACUAAC
This 28-nucleotide non-coding RNA is filed under the name Bombyx mori (domestic silkworm). Lineage: Eukaryota; Metazoa; Arthropoda; Insecta; Lepidoptera; Bombycidae. The record is from RNAcentral.